UUUUGGUCAGUAGGAGCAUGCCUGAUAAAUGAAUGCAGUAAUGCUCUUCCUUGCCGAAAGA
RNAcentral lists this microRNA precursor (61 nucleotides) under Pristionchus pacificus. RNAcentral's name for it is "microRNA ppc-mir-8328 precursor". The record is from miRBase by way of RNAcentral. Lineage: Eukaryota; Metazoa; Nematoda; Chromadorea; Rhabditida; Neodiplogasteridae.